This 1053-nucleotide long non-coding RNA is filed under the name Corvus moneduloides (New Caledonian crow). RNAcentral's name for it is "lncRNA (ENSCMUG00000017221.1)". The record is from RNAcentral. Lineage: Eukaryota; Metazoa; Chordata; Aves; Passeriformes; Corvidae.
AUGUUUGGGUGCCAGACUCAGCUGCUGGAGGGUCUCCCAAGCCUCCCACGCCAGGACCCCGGGCAACACUCCCUCUGUGCCCUGAGCCACCCUGGCUGUCCCAUUCCCAGCCCUGCCAUCUCUCUGGGGGCUGCUUGGAUUCUUGCUUGCUUUUUCAGGGAAUGCACGAUUCCACCUCCCGGCCAAAAGAAAGCACAGGAUAAAGGACACUUCAUCAUGGUCUCACUAACACCACAAAGCACAUCACACAGUACAGGAGAGUCGGGGCCUGGCGCUUCUCUAACGAAGCAAGGUAAGCUGGCAGCAUCAGCAGCGACACGUGUGGUGAUUCCCUCUCGGGGACUCCAGCAAGCCCGGACCCCUCUUUGGACGAAAAUCCCACCCCAUGUAAACAAUCCGUGUGGAAGGGGAGAAAGCAGCACCCCAUUGUCCCAGCUGGACAAGGAGAGCCCUUCCUUGGCCUCCCAGACUUCGGGGUGCAGGGCACCCCAGCUGCCCUCGCCACCCCCGCACCGCAAGCCCUGCCCCAGUCACAUUUUCGGGGAGGGGGGAAGGAGGGAAUGGAUUCCCUGGGUACCCCCAUCCCUGCGACAGCCCAAACAAGCCACACCUAAAGCGUCUUUUCACCCCGCAGGUUCUCAAAGUGCUUCGCAAACCACAGAGACACAGAGAGCGCCCGUGUCCCUCCUCCCCGGCCCCCCCGGCCGGAGCUCUCCUCCCCCGCGGUGCGGAACGCGGCCCCCCCAUUAUUGCAUAGCAUCGCAGGCCCUGAUUUCAGGGGGAUGGGCACAACCACCCCACGCGUGGGGACCAGCCCCGCCGGGGGGGGGGGGGGACACGACGCCUCCCUCCCCACCCCCUCCGUUCCUGUGGCCUUCCCAUGGGAUGUGCCCCAGAGGCGUGGGACCACCCGGAUGGGGCCCACGGCUCCCCUGGCUCCUUACCCCGAGAGCAGACAAACGCCAUCCUACGAGGAUCCUUUAUCUUUUCUUUUUCUUUUUUUCUUUCUUUUUUUUUUUUUUUUGGUGUUUUGUGUUUUUAAAUAAAAAAUAA